CCUACGGGAGGCAGCAGUGAGGAAUAUUGGUCAAUGGGCUUACGCCUGAACCAGCCAAGUCGCGUGAGGGAAGACUGCCCUAUGGGUUGUAAACCUCUUUUGUCAGGGAGCAAUUGAGUCCACGGGUGGUCUUAGCGAGAGUACCUGAAGAAAAAGCAUCGGCUAACUCCGUGCCAGCAGCCGCGGUAAUACGGAGGAUGCGAGCGUUAUCCGGAUUUAUUGGGGUUAAAGGGUGCGUAGGCGGAAUAUCAAGUCAGCGGUAAAAAUUCGGGGCUCAACCCCGUCGUGCCGUUGAAACUGAUGUUCUUGAGUGGGCGAGAAGUAUGCGGAAUGCGUGGUGUAGCGGUGAAAUGCAUAGAUAUCACGCAGAACUCCGAUUGCGAAGGCAGCAUACCGGCGCCCAACUGACGCUGAAGCACGAAAGCGUGGGUAUCGAACAGGAUUAGAUACCCUUGUAGUC
Molecule: ribosomal RNA, 460 nt
Filed under: uncultured bacterium
Lineage: Bacteria
Description: partial 16S ribosomal RNA
Rfam family: Bacterial small subunit ribosomal RNA
Source: RNAcentral